Long non-coding RNA from Homo sapiens (human), 826 nucleotides. RefSeq annotates it as DHCR7 divergent transcript. The transcript has 2 exons. NCBI's taxonomy places the organism in Eukaryota, Metazoa, Chordata, Mammalia, Primates, Hominidae. The record is from RefSeq and is marked validated.
AUUCGGCAGCGGCCGGACUCGAGAUUGACGGCCCAGGCCCCGCCCUGCCGCCCCACCGGCCCGCCCGGGCCCUAGUGGGUGGGCGCAGCCUCUGGCGCUUCUUCGGGAUCCCAGCUGACCAGCUGGGGGUGGGGCGUGGCGGAGUGGCCACGUGGGCCGCGCGGAGAACGCGCCAGGCUCAUCACCUGGAUCAUCGUGCCUCAGUUUCCCCCUCGGCAAAUGGGGCUUCAGCGGCUCGCGACGCACAUUGAUGGAGCGUAUGUCCAGGCGCCGGUGCACCGCAAGGAGCAAAACAGACACAGUUCUUGGUCCUAGGGCUCACGUCCCGGGGCGAAGAGGAUCCUCCAUAAACGAUCAGCCAUAGCAGCUGUGAUUGGACAAGAGACUGAUUUCAGUGACUUUCUCCUAAUAAGAGACCACCGACCAGCUGACCAUGCCGACCAGCUGACCCGUUAAUAGAGAGAGAUGAUGCACCUGCAUGCCUUUGUGUCCUGAAAAGACGUUUUGCCAUAAAGGCCCUAAUUGUAAGAUGUGUAAAUGUUAAGUCUCCACCCCAAAGUGAACAUGGGUCAUAUAUUACAUGCUUUGCUCAAUAAGAGGGCAUGUGUCAGGACCACCUUCAUGAAUAUUCAUAGCUCCUCCUGUUACCUGUUGAAUAUGUAUGUUUAGCCAAUCCCUUCAGCAUAGCGCUCCUGCCCCAACCCCUCCUCCUUGGACGUGCCUGUCUCUGGCCUUGGCUGGAGACAGAUUCCCAGCCUCAGACAGAUGGCCGCCACCUUGCAGGCUACGACCGUUUACAAGAAAUAAAGCCUUCUCUUUUUCCAAA